RNAcentral lists this ribosomal RNA (468 nucleotides) under uncultured bacterium. Its description in RNAcentral is "partial 16S ribosomal RNA". It matches the Rfam family "Bacterial small subunit ribosomal RNA", at positions 28 to 507 of the family's 1533-position model. The record is from RNAcentral.
GACGAACGCUGGCGGCGUGCUUAACACAUGCAAGUCGAACGGAAAGGCCCUGCUUUUGUGGGGUGCUCGAGUGGCGAACGGGUGAGUAACACGUGAGUAACCUGCCCUUGACUUUGGGAUAACUUCAGGAAACUGGGGCUAAUACCGGAUAGGAGCUCCUGCUGCAUGGUGGGGGUUGGAAAGUUUCGGCGGUUGGGGAUGGACUCGCGGCUUAUCAGCUUGUUGGUGGGGUAGUGGCUUACCAAGGCUUUGACGGGUAGCCGGCCUGAGAGGGUGACCGGCCACAUUGGGACUGAGAUACGGACCAGCCUCCUACGGGAGGCAGCAGUGGGGAAUAUUGCACAAUGGGCGGAAGCCUGAUGCAGCAACGCCGCGUGCGGGAUGCCGGCCUUCGGGUUGUAAACCGCUUUCGCCUGUAACGAAGCGUGAGUGACGGUAAUGGGUAAAGAAGCACCGGCUAACUACGUG